RNAcentral lists this ribosomal RNA (414 nucleotides) under Staphylococcus sp. Its description in RNAcentral is "partial 16S ribosomal RNA". It matches the Rfam family "Bacterial small subunit ribosomal RNA", at positions 112 to 513 of the family's 1533-position model. Lineage: Bacteria; Bacillati; Bacillota; Bacilli; Caryophanales; Staphylococcaceae. The record is from RNAcentral.
AACACGUGGAUAACCUACCUAUAANNCUGGGAUAACUUCGGGAAACCGGAGCUAAUACCGGAUAAUAUAUUGAACCGCAAGGUUCAAUAGUGAAAGACGGUUUUGCUGUCACUUAUAGAUGGAUCCGCGCCGCNNNNNNUAGUUGGUAAGGUAACGGCUUACCAAGGCAACGAUGCGUAGCCGACCUGAGAGGGUGAUCGGCCACACUGGAACUGNNNCACGGUCCAGACUCCUACGGGAGGCAGCAGUAGGGAAUCUUCCGCAAUGGGCGAAAGCCUGACGGAGCAACGCCGCGUGAGUGAUGAAGGUCUUCGGAUCGUAAAACUCUGUUAUUAGGGAAGAACAAAUGUGUAAGUAACUAUGCACGUCUUGACGGUACCUAAUCAGAAAGCCACGGCUAACUACGUGCCAGCA